UAUCAAAUUGCUUGGGUCAAACAAGGCUCGUCAUACACCUAUUUAAAAAACGGUUGCAACACACACAUCCGUGAUAACCAAAGUGCAACCGAGGGGCACCAUGGGAGAAAUUAACUAUGUUCCAAACAGUGCUGAAAAUGCUCGCUUCGUAGUCCCAAGAUCUUAGGUAGCUGGUUAUUUGGAUAAGAUUUUUUCUAGGCUUUUCUAUUGAUAAAGUGUGGUUUGUGUCAAGGUGGCCACUGUGGCGAAACUUGGUAGCCAAGAUUCACAAUUCGUAAUGGAAAGAUGAGUUGGGAACAUUAAAUUCAGGAACACAAGAGCUAUUGUGCUGGAGACGAACUUUAGCUAAGAUAGCUGACAUCAUCUAAAGAAUCUUUACUAAGCUCUACAAAGACAAGAAGAACUGAGGGCUGAUAACUGGACAAAACGAAUCACAAGAAAUUACAGCAACAGUUUCAUCGGUCUUUCUUGUCUUUCCGGGAUCCCAGUAAAAACCAAUCUCCAAGUUUUUUUCCGCCUAUUUUCCAUUGUGUUGCGAAAGUAGAAAUUGUUUCCACAUUUCUGAACAUUUUUACAUCCAUAAAUCUAUACCCCUCAACGACAGAUUGUUUGUUAGCCAAAAGAACUUUUAGGCAAUUGUUGACACCUGCCAUAUGUUUAAUCUCCCGCCUGUCUAAAAUUAGAUCCCAUGAUACACCGCGGGUUACGACACAUCCGCGAUAACAAAAGUGCAAUCUUUUUUGAAAUAGGUGUAUACAAUUUUGGAGGGGAGGUGCAAGAUUUGUAUAUUCAUUGAGGUUUGUAUAGGGUAUUAGAAGUUCUUUGAAAAGUUUUGUAUAGGGUGUUUUUAGCUACUGUUAUUUUUUUCUACCUUAUCAUAUUUCUACCCUAGCAGCGUUUUUUAAUUAAACUUUUUAAUUAAAAAAUUACUUCAAUCAAGCCGUGUGACACCUGCUUUUAGAAGAUGUCGACACGGCUUAGAUACAGUGUUACUUACAAGCGUCGCUUUCUCCCGAGAACGACACACUGUGUCCAGUAUUCGUCAACUUCCCUUUUGUGAAUGGAUCGUAGUGAACUUUAACGGGAGGAAUAGUGGAGUCGAACUUUGUCUCAUUGCUCACGAUGUCUAUUGGGGAUUGCCUUUUGCCGCUCGCAGCGAUUGGAAAUUUUACGCUCCAUUUCCCUGGUCCUGUCAAAUUAAAUUGAUAUGCA
Molecule: long non-coding RNA, 1212 nt
Organism: Nematostella vectensis (starlet sea anemone)
Lineage: Eukaryota; Metazoa; Cnidaria; Anthozoa; Actiniaria; Edwardsiidae
Exons: 2
Source: RefSeq, a predicted model, not a curated record